Eriocheir sinensis (Chinese mitten crab) is the source of this 1734-nucleotide long non-coding RNA. RefSeq lists it as uncharacterized. The transcript has 3 exons. The record is from RefSeq and is a predicted model, not a curated record. NCBI's taxonomy places the organism in Eukaryota, Metazoa, Arthropoda, Malacostraca, Decapoda, Varunidae.
GCCGGAGUAACAGAGCGCCGACCUGAUUAAUGAGGCCAGAAUACAGAAAACUAGGAGACAUGAUAUUAAAGUUUUUGUGGAGGCAGGAUGGAGUACACACGCAUCAAAUGGAGAACCAGGUGGAGAUGAAAUUGGCCUUUGUGGAAGCAGGGUCGAGUACACUAACAUCAAACGGAAAACCAGGUGGAGAGAUGAAAUUAGAACCUUUGUGGAUGCAGGAUGGAGUACACUGACAUCAAACGGAAAACCAGGUGGAGAGAUGAAAUUAGAACCUUUGUGGAUGCAGGAUGGAGUACACUGACAUCAAACGGAAAACCAGGUGGAGAGAUGAAAUUAGAACCUUUGUGGAGGCAGGAUGGAGUACACUGACAUCAAACGGAGAACCAGGUGGAGAGAUGAAAUUAGAACCUGGUGCUAGUACUCUAUCCUGCUCCAGUAAAGGUUCUGAUUUAAUCUCUACCUGGUGUUCUGUCUGGUAAAAGUGCUCUAUCCUGCUCUGGUAAAGGUUCCAAUUUCACUCUAUACCUGGUCCUCUGUCUGGUAUUGUACUCUUUCCGGUAAAGGCUCUAAUUUCACUCUACCUGGUUUGCUGUCUAAUAUUAGUGUACUUCGUCCUGCUCCGGUAAAGGUUCUAAUAUCAUCUCCACCUGGUGUCCUGUCUGAUAUUAGUGCUCUAUCCUGCUCCGGUAAAGGUUCUAAUUUCAUCUCUACCUGGUCCUCUGUCAGGUGUUAGUGUUCUUCAUCCUGCUCCGGUAAAGGUUCUAAUUUCAUCUCUACCUGGUCCUCUGUCAGGUGUUAGUGUUCUUCAUCCUGCUCCGGUAAAGGUUCUAAUUUCAUCUCUACCUGGUCCUCUGUCUGGUGCUAGUGUUCUUCAUCCUGCUCCGGUAAAGUUUCUAAUUUCACUCCACCUGGUCCUCUGUCUGGUGCUAGUGUUCUUCAUCCUGCUCAGGCAAAAACUGUAAUUAAUCCCUUCUCUCCACCUGGUCCUCUGUGUCCCUUAACUUUUUUUUACGAUGCCUGGGUCGCCUCCGUUAUUCUGGUUGUGUCUGUUAUCAGUUUGGCGGGUGGUAUUGCACGUCUUUCCCGGUAAUAACUGUCAUCGUAUUUUCCUCUUCUUAGGGUCGCGGCGGAAUGCUAUUAACUCUUAGGCCAGAGUUAAGAAUCAUUGGCGUGACCUGACCGACCGCCUUGCCUGUCAUUGCACGAUCCAGGAAACUUUGGUCGCCUGCUCUUUCAUUCCUCCUUCCUUCUCCCACUCCUCCUCCUCCUCCUCCUCCGUCCAUCAUCUCGUUCUCUACUUCUUUCUUCCUUCUCAUCUUCACCAUUCUAUCUAUCACCUUUAUCUCCUCCUCCUCUUUCCUCCUCCUCCUUCACUACCUCUAUCUCGAUCCUUUCCUUCCUUGAGUUACUUGCGUAAGAGGAGGAGGAAGAGGAGGAGAAGGAGGAGGAGUCUGCUUUGGAGGAGGUAGUGGAGGAGAACUGACUAGCCGUCGUCACGCUCUUACAGUCUUCCUCCUCCUCCUCCUCCUCCUCCUCCUCCUCCUACGACCUCUCUCUACGGCAACAACAACAUCAGCGAUUCUCUGUCAACCAGUGUAUAAUGUAUUGCGUGCAGUCACACACACACACACACACACACACACACACACACAUCAACGAUUUAGUUUUUGCCUCAAGUUAAAUUAUUAGUUUAUAAACGAUGUAAAUUCCCUGAGAAAAAAAUAUAUCCAUGCU